GGGGAUGACAGGAUUCGACGAGGAAUUUGCACUUUUACACAUCGUUAGGGCGGACCUAUCCGUUAAAUGGAAACCUUUUAAAUGCAAAAGCUAAUACUGCAAUUGCAGAUCUUAAGGCUUAUGUUCUUGAAGCAUAUGAAAGCGCAACCGCGUCUCAGUAUGCUCAAAACGCCGCAUAUUUAUAUGCGUAAAACCGUAAGAUCCUCUGUAUAAGUUUUCCUCUGUUCAACUUGUAGAGAGUAAACCAAUGGAGGUAAGAUUUUUUUGGCAUUCCCGAUUGGCCAGGAAAGUCGACAACUCAUAAUCGGCUGUAUAUCCAUCUUUGUUUAUUUAUAAAGGUAUACUCGAGCCCACAAAUAAACUAUCCCUAGCUAUAAAAUGUGUUUGAGUGUUUCCCCGGACCCCGGUUCAAUUCCGGGCAUCUCCACCA
RNAcentral lists this transfer-messenger RNA (430 nucleotides) under bacterium. It matches the Rfam family "transfer-messenger RNA". From Rfam's summary of the family: Bacterial tmRNA, also known as 10Sa RNA or SsrA, is named for its dual tRNA and mRNA-like properties. Its role is to liberate the mRNA from a stalled ribosome. The record is from RNAcentral.